CGCCGACUGUCUGACGGAGCAGGAGGCCGCCUCCCGUGCGGCCAGGCUCGCGUCCCUGGCGGCGGCGGCCUGCUCGGGCCCCGGCGCCGAGGCCC
This 95-nucleotide transfer RNA is filed under the name Schaalia georgiae F0490. Its description in RNAcentral is "Actinomyces georgiae F0490 tRNA-Gly". The record is from RNAcentral. Lineage: Bacteria; Bacillati; Actinomycetota; Actinomycetes; Actinomycetales; Actinomycetaceae.